Molecule: long non-coding RNA, 292 nt
Filed under: Elaeis guineensis (African oil palm)
Lineage: Eukaryota; Viridiplantae; Streptophyta; Magnoliopsida; Arecales; Arecaceae
Description: long non-coding RNA (EGUI_LNC006068)
Source: RNAcentral
UGAUGAAGUCCUUAGGACCAUUUGAUUCGAUGUAGGAGGAUAUAUUGUUUAGUCCUUAAACCUUAAGUUUGCGACCAAAUGAUAUACUAUUAUUAGAAUGAUAGCUAUAUCAAGUAUAGAUCGUUGUGUGCCAUGUAUAUUGGUUGUCCUUUUAACCAAAAAGUCUAGAGAUACUAGCAUGGCAUGCAAGUGAGAUGUAGGAGUAUAUCUCACUGAACGUGACUAAUUAUCAAGCACUCUACUAUCAAGAGUAGCUUAUGAAGGAUAUAGGUAUAAAUAUUUCUUUGACCUG